RNAcentral lists this ribosomal RNA (987 nucleotides) under Escherichia coli. RNAcentral describes it as "partial 23S ribosomal RNA". It matches the Rfam family "Bacterial large subunit ribosomal RNA", at positions 906 to 1875 of the family's 2925-position model. The record is from RNAcentral. Lineage: Bacteria; Pseudomonadati; Pseudomonadota; Gammaproteobacteria; Enterobacterales; Enterobacteriaceae.
AGCACUGUUUCGGCAAGGGGGUCAUCCCGACUUACCAACCCGAUGCAAACUGCGAAUACCGGAGAAUGUUAUCACGGGAGACACACGGCGGGUGCUAACGUCCGUCGUGAAGAGGGAAACAACCCAGACCGCCAGCUAAGGUCCCAAAGUCAUGGUUAAGUGGGAAACGAUGUGGGAAGGCCCAGACAGCCAGGAUGUUGGCUUAGAAGCAGCCAUCAUUUAAAGAAAGCGUAAUAGCUCACUGGUCGAGUCGGCCUGCGCGGAAGAUGUAACGGGGCUAAACCAUGCACCGAAGCUGCGGCAGCGACGCUUAUGCGUUGUUGGGUAGGGGAGCGUUCUGUAAGCCUGUGAAGGUGUGCUGUGAGGCAUGCUGGAGGUAUCAGAAGUGCGAAUGCUGACAUAAGUAACGAUAAAGCGGGUGAAAAGCCCGCUCGCCGGAAGACCAAGGGUUCCUGUCCAACGUUAAUCGGGGCAGGGUGAGUCGACCCCUAAGGCGAGGCCGAAAGGCGUAGUCGAUGGGAAACAGGUUAAUAUUCCUGUACUUGGUGUUACUGCGAAGGGGGGACGGAGAAGGCUAUGUUGGCCGGGCGACGGUUGUCCCGGUUUAAGCGUGUAGGCUGGUUUUCCAGGCAAAUCCGGAAAACCAAGGCUGAGGCGUGAUGACGAGGCACUACGGUGCUGAAGCGACAAAUGCCCUGCUUCCAGGAAAAGCCUCUAAGCAUCAGGUAACAUCAAAUCGUACCCCAAACCGACACAGGUGGUCAGGUAGAGAAUACCAAGGCGCUUGAGAGAACUCGGGUGAAGGAACUAGGCAAAAUGGUGCCGUAACUUCGGGAGAAGGCACGCUGAUAUGUAGGUGAAGCGACUUGCUCGUGGAGCUGAAAUCAGUCGAAGAUACCAGCUGGCUGCAACUGUUUAUUAAAAACACAGCACUGUGCAAACACGAAAGUGGACGUAUACGGUGUGACGCCUGCCCGGUGCCGGAAG